This 28-nucleotide non-coding RNA is filed under the name Bombyx mori (domestic silkworm). The record is from RNAcentral. Lineage: Eukaryota; Metazoa; Arthropoda; Insecta; Lepidoptera; Bombycidae.
UAGUGGUUGCGUACGAUUGCGUCGGCGG